UAUCACAGCCAGUUUUGAUGAGUG
This 24-nucleotide microRNA is filed under the name Limulus polyphemus (Atlantic horseshoe crab). RNAcentral describes it as "Lpo-Mir-2-P4h_3p (mature (guide))". Lineage: Eukaryota; Metazoa; Arthropoda; Merostomata; Xiphosura; Limulidae. The record is from RNAcentral.